AGCGGCGGACGGGUGAGUAACACGUGGGUAACCUGCCCAAGAGACUGGGAUAACACCUGGAAACAGAUGCUAAUACCGGAUAACAACACCAGACGCAUGUCUAGAGUUUGAAAGAUGGUUCUGCUAUCACUCUUGGAUGGACCUGCGGUGCAUUAGCUAGUUGGUAAGGUAACGGCUUACCAAGGCAAUGAUGCAUAGCCGAGUUGAGAGACUGAUCGGCCACAUUGGGACUGAGACACGGCCCAAACUCCUACGGGAGGCAGCAGUAGGGAAUCUUCCACAAUGGACGAAAGUCUGAUGGAGCAACGCCGCGUGAGUGAAGAAGGGUUUCGGCUCGUAAAGCUCUGUUGGUAGUGAAGAAAGAUAGAGGUAGUAACUGGCCUUUAUUUGACGGUAAUUACUUAGAAAGUCACGGCUAACUACGUGCCAGCAGCCGCGGUAAUACGUAGGUGGCAAGCGUUGUCCGGAUUUAUUGGGCGUAAAGCGAGUGCAGGCGGUUCAAUAAGUCUGAUGUGAAAGCCUUCGGCUCAACCGGAGAAUUGCAUCAGAAACUGUUGAACUUGAGUGCAGAAGAGGAGAGUGGAACUCCAUGUGUAGCGGUGGAAUGCGUAGAUAUAUGGAGGAACACCAGUGGCGAAAGCGGCUCUCUGGUCUGCAACUGACGCUGAGGCUCGAAGGCAUGGGUAGCGAACAGGAUUAGAUACCCUGGUAGUCCAUGCCGUAACGAUGAGUGCUAAGUGU
Molecule: ribosomal RNA, 741 nt
Filed under: uncultured bacterium
Lineage: Bacteria
Description: bacterial SSU rRNA
Rfam family: Bacterial small subunit ribosomal RNA
Source: RNAcentral